Molecule: non-coding RNA, 72 nt
Organism: Ameiurus melas (black bullhead)
Lineage: Eukaryota; Metazoa; Chordata; Actinopteri; Siluriformes; Ictaluridae
Source: the annotation of a GenBank genome assembly
AAGCUGGUGGUGAAGUGGUUAGGAUUCGGCGUGCUCACUGCCGCGGCACGGGUUCGAUUCCCGGUCAGGGAU